GUGUUCGCAUCACUUAAGGUGAUUCGAUAGUGUCAGUUCGCUGCCAUCGCGAAGCGAUGGCAAAGCGCUUCCCGAACGUUGAGUCGGGUAGGGCAAGGUGAACGGCCUGAGUCAUUUUAAGGAUGCGAACACGCGGUAGAGGAGCGUCGUGUAAGCCGAUGAAGGUGUGUUGAGAAGCAUGCUGGAGGUAUCACGAGUGCGAAUGCUGACAUGAGUAACGACAAGGGGAGUGAAAAACUCCCCCGCCGGAAGACCAAGGGUUUCUGUUCGACGCUAAUCGGAGCAGAGUGAGUCGGCCCCUAAGGCGAGGCCGAAAGGCGUAGUCGAUGGGAAACGGGUCAAUAUUCCCGUACCUCACAGUAUUGCGAUGGGGGGACGAAGAAGGCUAGGUGAGCCAGGCGUUGGUUGUCCUGGUGAAAGCCGGUAGGCUGAGGAUUCAGGUAAAUCCGGAUCCUUAAGGCCGAGAGGCGAGACGAACUGACUACGGUCAGGAAGUCAUCGAUGCCACGCUUCCAGGAAAAGCCUCUAAGCUUCAGAUACUGUGAGACCGUACCCCAAACCGACACAGGUGGUCAGGUAGAGAAUACCAAGGCGCUUGAGAGAACUCGGGUGAAGGAACUAGGCAAAAUGGUGCCGUAACUUCGGGAGAAGGCACGCCGCAUUAGGGUGAAGGUCCUCGCGACCGGAGCCUGACGCGGUCGAAGAUACCAGGUGGCUGCAACUGUUUAUUAAAAACACAGCACUCUGCAAACGCGCAAGCGGACGUAUAGGGUGUGACGCCUGCCCGGUGCCGGAAGGUUAAGUGAUGGUGUUAGCUCACGCGAAGCUCCUGAUCGAAGCCCCGGUAAACGGCGGCCGUAACUAUAACGGUCCUAAGGUAGCGAAAUUCCUUGUCGGGUAAGUUCCGACCUGCACGAAUGGCGUAAUGAUGGCCACGCUGUCUCCACCCGAGACUCAGUGAAAUUGAAAUCGCAGUGAAGAUGCUGUGUACCCGCGGCUAGACGGAAAGACCCCGUGAACCUUUACUACAGCUUCACACUGGACGCUGAUGUUGCUUGUGUAGGAUAGCUGGGAGGCUUUGAAACCCUGUCGCCAGAUGGGGUGGAGCCAACCUUGAAAUACCAGCCUGGCAUCAUUGGCGUUCUAACUCAGGACCGUAAUCCGGUUCGAGGACCGUGUGUGGUGGGUAGUUUGACUGGGGCGGUCUCCUCCCAAAGAGUAACGGAGGAGCACGAAGGUACCCUCAGCACGGUUGGAAAUCGUGCAGUGAGUGCAAGAGCAUAAGGGUGCUUAACUGCGAGACAGACACGUCGAGCAGAUACGAAAGUAGGUUCUAGUGAUCCGGUGGUUCUGUAUGGAAGGGCCAUCGCUCAACGGAUAAAAGGUACUCCGGGGAUAACAGGCUGAUACCGCCCAAGAGUUCACAUCGACGGCGGUGUUUGGCACCUCGAUGUCGGCUCAUCACAUCCUGGGGCUGAAGUCGGUCCCAAGGGUAUGGCUGUUCGCCAUUUAAAGUGGUACGCGAGCUGGGUUUAGAACGUCGUGAGACAGUUCGGUCCCUAUCUGCCGUGGGCGUUGGAGAUUUGAGAAGCGCUGCUCCUAGUACGAGAGGACCGGAGUGGACGUACCUCUGGUGUUCCGGUUGUCACGCCAGUGGCAUUGCCGGGUAGCUAUGUACGGACGGGAUAACCGCUGAAAGCAUCUAAGCGGGAAGCCCCCUUCAAGAUGAGAUCUCCCUGAGGCCUUGAGCCUCCUAAAGGACCCAGCAAGACCAGCUGGUUGAUAGGCCGGGUGUGGAAGCGCUGCAAGGCGUUGAGCUAACCGGUACUAAUGGUCCGUGAGGCUUGACCAU
Molecule: ribosomal RNA, 1852 nt
Filed under: Halomonas litopenaei
Lineage: Bacteria; Pseudomonadati; Pseudomonadota; Gammaproteobacteria; Oceanospirillales; Halomonadaceae
Also listed under: 1 other name
Description: bacterial LSU rRNA
Rfam family: Bacterial large subunit ribosomal RNA
Source: RNAcentral